This 438-nucleotide ribosomal RNA is filed under the name uncultured bacterium. RNAcentral's name for it is "bacterial SSU rRNA". It matches the Rfam family "Bacterial small subunit ribosomal RNA", at positions 338 to 793 of the family's 1533-position model. The record is from RNAcentral.
CCUACGGGAGGCAGCAGUGGGGGAUAUUGCACAAUGGGGGAAACCCUGAUGCAGCGACGCCGCGUGAGCGAAGAAGUAUUUCGGUAUGUAAAGCUCUAUCAGCAGGGAAGAAAAUGACGGUACCUGACUAAGAAGCUCCGGCUAAAUACGUGCCAGCAGCCGCGGUAAUACGUAUGGAGCAAGCGUUAUCCGGAUUUACUGGGUGUAAAGGGAGCGUAGGCGGCCUGGCAAGUCUGGUGUGAAAUACCGGGGCCCAACCCCGGGACUGCAUUGGAAACUGCCAGGCUGGAGUGCCGGAGGGGCAGGCGGAAUUCCUAGUGUAGCGGUGAAAUGCGUAGAUAUUAGGAGGAACACCGGUGGCGAAGGCGGCCUGCUGGACGGCAACUGACGCUGAGGCUCGAAAGCGUGGGGAGCAAACAGGAUUAGAUACCCUUGUAG